AAAGUACGGCCGGUUCGCAUGCGGGCGGUCGCUCGUGUCGGCGCGGGAACGCAAAAUAAUGGCGGGAAGACGGUAGCAGAGAACGAGGAAGAAACGGGCGACGACUGAGCAAACGACCAAUGGCACGGAUGGACGGACGUAUUUAAGAAGAAAGUAAGGGGGGGGGGAACCCAGGCAAAGAAGGAAAGAAAGAAAGAUGGA
Molecule: long non-coding RNA, 201 nt
Organism: Gallus gallus (chicken)
Lineage: Eukaryota; Metazoa; Chordata; Aves; Galliformes; Phasianidae
Exons: 2
Source: RefSeq, a predicted model, not a curated record